This is a long non-coding RNA of Diospyros lotus (date-plum), 1839 nucleotides long. RefSeq lists it as uncharacterized. Lineage: Eukaryota; Viridiplantae; Streptophyta; Magnoliopsida; Ericales; Ebenaceae. The record is from RefSeq and is a predicted model, not a curated record. The transcript is spliced from 2 exons.
AAGGAGCAGAUAAAGAAACUGAGGCAUUCCUACCUAGCUCUCUAUUUAUAUCCUCUCGUUAGUUGCUUCUUAUCUAUGGAAGCUGCAGCAGCCUCAAACUGACAACAGCAGCGACAGAACCACCACCAACAUAUAUGAAUAUGAGGAAGCAGCAGUAUAUAUGUAGGCUACAAAUUAGAGCGAGCAAGGAGAGGGUGUAGAUAAGCUUAAUAUCGUGCACCAUCGAUCGGCAGUUGAAGCUGCCAGCAUGAUCUGAGCUUUCCUUCAACAGGAAAGAACAGAUCAUGUGGCAACUUCACCUGUCCAUGGUAGCAUGGAAACCCAACAAAGGCCCAAUUCCCCUUCUUCUCUGAUUUGCUAGUUGCUGCUUCUGCAAAAAACAGAAAAAGUGAACCCAUCCAUUAGGGUUUCCUCUUUAAUUACUUCAAAACCAAACCCUUCCAUUAGGGUUUCCUCUUUAAUUUCUUCAAAACCAAACCCUUCCAUUAGGGUUUCCUCUUUAAUUACUUCAAAACCCUAGAUAUAGAUAGAUAGAUAGAUAGGGAGGGUUUCUGUGCUUUCUUUCUGCUGCCUGGUGCUGAGGCUUGUCUCUUCUUCCCCGGACUGCUGCUGCUGCUGCUGCUAUUCUUGUGAAGAUGCUAGGGUUUCAAGUGACAGGAUUUCUGCCUUAACGUGGUUGGUGCUUUUGAGAUCCCUCCUCGUGUCUUGGGGAUCUGAUUUUUAUACUCUCAAAAUGUAUCUUUUUGUCUUCCAAUUGAUAAAAAAGAAAACUAAAAUACAAAAUAUUUUCAUUGAACCCGAUGAGAAAUACACUAGUUAUUUGAGAUAUAUGAAGGUUAGCACAAAAGAUCAAUCAAAAUGUUUUUAAAAACUUCUUGUAGAACCCUUUCAAGUAAUGUUGUAACUUUUAUGCUUACCUUUAAAUUUGAAAAUUUUAUAUAAGAGCGAUCACAAGCGAACAAGAACACUAACUAAAUGCACACUAAAUGCUCAAACUUCAAACCUUAAUUAAGUUUUAAUGAUCUGAUAUUAAUUUAAUUUCACACAUGUAUAGUACUUCCUCGAGAGCUUAUGCCAUAGGUUUGCUUCCAUCUAAAUAUAUAUCAAUAUCUGCAUUUGGCCUUUCGCUAUUUUUCAUCAAUUGGGAUAUUGUGAAUAAUUAAGUAAUUCCUAACGUAUUGUAUUUGAAUGUAAACAGAUUGCCACACACAUAAAUGUGUUUCAUUUUCCAUGAAUCUCAACUGCACCCCUCCACGGAUGUUCUUCCAUCACAACAGUACACUUGAAAUUCUUGACCAUUUAAUUCAACACAAGAAUGAUUAAUUAUGUCCAAAAUCCAUAAAAAUCACUAUUACUUCUACCUACUUUCUACUUGCCCCCUUAUUGACUAACUGGCCGGGGCAUUUGAACCAUUAAUACACUUGACUAAUUGCAGCUUCUCUUUGAUAUUUGAUAUCCCAUUAAGACUUCAUUAACAUAAGAAUGAAUUAUCCCAUUUGAAAAUUAAGUUUGUUGCGGACUUGCAGGAUUGAAAACUAGGCUAAGAUUCUUCAACAAGAGAUCAGGGAGUAAAUUCUUUGUACAUAUAUAUAUGGUGAAUGUUUUUGAAGGGCUUUAAAUUCUGUAUGGAUGUGUCUAUAUCACUAGUGGACGCCCAAGUAGAUGUCUGUACUCUUGGCUUGCUUAUUUGAUUUUCUUUCCCUUUUUUCUUAUUGUAUUAAAUUAAUUUCCUCAGUAGAAAUCAUUACAGAUGAUGAUGUGACAUUGUAAAUAUUAAACCACUUAAAAAAUAGUGGCAUAUAUAUACUAAUGUUAAAGGUUGCGGCCGUUGAUUGUUUC